UACGGGGGGGGCAAGCGUUGUUCGGAAUUACUGGGCGUAAAGGGCUCGUAGGCGGCCAACUAAGUCAGACGUGAAAUCCCUCGGCUUAACCGGGGAACUGCGUCUGAUACUGGAUGGCUGGAGUUUGGGAGAGGGAUGCGGAAUUCCAGGUGUAGCGGUGAAAUGCGUAGAUAUCUGGAGGAACACCGGUGGCGAAGGCGGCAUCCUGGACCAACACUGACGCUGAUGAGCGAAAGCUAGGGGAGCAAACGGG
This 253-nucleotide ribosomal RNA is filed under the name uncultured bacterium. Its description in RNAcentral is "partial 16S ribosomal RNA". It matches the Rfam family "Bacterial small subunit ribosomal RNA", at positions 524 to 776 of the family's 1533-position model. The record is from RNAcentral.